Molecule: ribosomal RNA, 259 nt
Filed under: uncultured bacterium
Lineage: Bacteria
Description: partial 16S ribosomal RNA
Rfam family: Bacterial small subunit ribosomal RNA
Source: RNAcentral
CUUGCUUUCUUUUGCUGGCGACCGGCGCACGGGUGAGUAACACGUAUCCAACCUGCCCUUUACUCGGGGAUAGCCUUUCGAAAGAAAGAUUAAUACCCGAUAGCAUAAUGAUUCCGCAUGGUUUCAUUAUUAAAGGAUUCCGGUAAAGGAUGGGGAUGCGUUCCAUUAGGUUGUUGGUGAGGUAACGGCCCACCAAGCCUUCGACGGAUAGGGGUUCUGAGAGGAAGGUCCCCCACAUUGGAACUGAGACACGGUCCAA